GCCCGGGUGGUGUAGGGGUAACACCGCGGCCUGUGGAGCCGCAGAGCCGGGUUCGAGAGGCUGGGCCCGAAAAUCCCGGCCCGGGCC
This 87-nucleotide transfer RNA is filed under the name Thermoprotei archaeon. RNAcentral's name for it is "tRNA-His". Lineage: Archaea; Thermoproteati; Thermoproteota; Thermoprotei. The record is from RNAcentral.